Molecule: long non-coding RNA, 2191 nt
Organism: Labeo rohita (rohu)
Lineage: Eukaryota; Metazoa; Chordata; Actinopteri; Cypriniformes; Cyprinidae
Exons: 3
Source: RefSeq, a predicted model, not a curated record
GCGUCACUAACUUUAUCGUUAAUUAUUCGGAGUAGGGUCGAAUUUAAUCUGAUGUAUUGUUUCUUGAAUGCUGCUAUGUUUCUGUGAUUGAUACGUUUAUCAACAAGUGAACGAACGGAGUUGAAUGCAUUAGAGUAUCUUAAACUGAGACCAUGACAAGAGCUAGUGGAGCACAUGCAGCACUUAAACAUGAUUUGCGAUACAAAAACUUCUCGUAGGUUACCAUUCAAGGAGGUAGUUUGGAGAACAGUGUGAAAUCAAUAACGUGCGCUGCGUCGACCGAUCAUCGAUGAAACGGAAGAAAACAAACGCAGAGAAGACAUAAAGGACGACAGAGCGUAUACGUUAAAGAGAUUGGCCUGUCAUAAUCUAUGCCGCUGAGUAAUCAGUGUUGGGUUGUGUUCUGCUACAAUGGCUUUCAAAAAAAGAUGACCAGAAAAAAUCCCAUCCCAAAAAGGUGACAUCAUCCUCUUUGCCAAAGAAAGAUGACGACCGCCGCACCUGGAAUACCUGAGGUGCAUAACGUGGGCCAAAUGGAAGAUGGAAAUUGUGGAGAUGUGGCAGAGAGAGCCUGGAAAUUGACUUUCGACAGCAUCCAUCCUAAUACCAAGACUGUUUACUGUCAAACUUCAUCCAAUAAUCUCAGUGGGAUUAAUUGAAGGCGGAAAGCAAGAGGGAGCGAGAAGUGGAAAGACGUGGAAAACAGGGGAAACAUGGAAAAACAAUCUCUUGCGUCCUCGAGGGAUGGAGUGAUGUGAAGAACUUGUCUGAGGGUGUUGAACAGAGAUGCUUAGAAAUUCUCUUCUCCACCUGAGUGAAGAGUCAAGGUCAUACACAGGCCAGGAUUCAUUAACAUCAGCCCAAAUCACAGCAGCACCCGUGAAACACAAAAACAGGUGUGUUUGAAGAAAGCAUAGUGAAACUACACUAUUUAAAGAGAUAGCUUUUCCAAAAUUCAAAAUCUGUUAUCAUUUGCUCGCCCUAAUGUUGUAUAACUUACACACUGCUAUUUCACAAAAGCAGACUGUGACCAAAUUAAUUUAACCUCCAAAAAAGACACAAAAGCACCAUAAAAGUAUUCCGUAUGACUCAUGUACUAUAUAUACCAAGUCUUCUGAAGUCAUUUAACACAGCAAAAUGUUAUUCACUUCUCAUGUUGCCCUCUGCUGUAGGAGUCAAAUCUCAUUCACUUGGACUAGUUAGGAGAUGCGGCAAAUGUGACAGGCAAAUGCAAAAUGAGUCAUGAUUAGUGUUUUUUAUUGUUAACUGAAACUAAAGCUAUUAAAAUCAGUUUGGUAUAUGUAUAUUAGAUGAAAUGCUUAAAUUAAAAAGUUAGAAAUGUUGCCUUAGUCUUUCUAUAUUUAUAUAUUACUUGUUCCUGGAGAGCAAGAAUAUCUUGCAGUUAAUAAAUAAAUUGAUCUACAGGACAAAAAAUUUCCUUUAUUAUUAAACGAAAUUCAUCCUUGGUGUGAAAAGUUCAUACAAAAGCAUUGUUUUUUAGCAAGGUUUUUCUCUCACUGGGAAUUGGCCUUUGCACAGCUUGAAUCAUUUGCCUGGAAGAUUUCUCAGAAAGAUUUGAACUCCUGAUAAUUGCCAGAGUGUUAGAUAUAAAACAUUUGACAAAACCUUUUUACUGUUUUUUAAUAUAUAAUAUAAAUUAGUUUUUACUUGUUUUUAUAUUAUUUUAUAUUUUAUUUUAUUUUAUUUUAUACAGUUUCUGGUCCUCAAAUCUGAUUGGCUAAUAAGAGUGCGAUAUUAGUGUCCAACAGAACUCCAAUAGCUGCAUCACUCCACUUGCAGUACUUCUUACAGCAAGUGUCAUGGCAGACGCUCAUAUCCUCUAAUUUAAAAAAUAUUACUGUUUUUGUCUCAUGGAAUGUAGUUUUAAGAGGUUUUCAGGUGAAAAUGUACUUGUUUAUAGUUCAAAUAUGCCGUUUGGUGAUAAAGUUAUCAUCUAUUUGAAAAUUUGCGUCAAUGUUUUCAGACAUGUGAGUUGAGAGAAGCCUCACCUUGGCCAGAUAUUCUGGAAUUUACUGCUGGCUCUGCUGUCUAGUGGUUAAACAUUAGAUAUAAUUUGUUUUGGGUAAAUCUAAUGGGCAGUCUUUGAUCUCAUUAAUCUAAUGUUUGUUCUAGAGCAAAUAGUUUUGGCAAAAUCUCAACAUGUUUAUGUAAAUUCAGUGCUGUAUAUCAG